Non-coding RNA from Podarcis lilfordi (Lilford's wall lizard), 111 nucleotides. NCBI's taxonomy places the organism in Eukaryota, Metazoa, Chordata, Lepidosauria, Squamata, Lacertidae. The record is from the annotation of a GenBank genome assembly.
GUGGGGGAGACACCUUGAUCAUGAAGGAGGUUUUCCCAAGGUGAGGAUCAUCCAUUGCACUAUGGGUGUGCUGACCCCUGCGAUUUCCCCAAAUGCGGGGAUUGCGUUUGC